GCUGCAUGCUUACACAUGCAAGUCGAACGAGAAAGUACCUUCGGGUGCGAGUAUAGUGGCGGACGGGUGAGUAAUGCAUAGGAAUCUGCCCAGUAGUGGGGGACAACUCGGGGAAACUCGAGCUAAUACCGCAUACUUCCUACGGGAAAAAGACUUCGGUCGCUAUUGGAUGAGCCUAUGUCAGAUUAGCUUGUUGGUAGGGUAAUGGCCUACCAAGGCGACGAUCUGUAGCUGGUCUGAGAGGAUGAUCAGCCACACUGGGACUGAGACACGGCCCAGACUCCUACGGGAGGCAGCAGUGGGGAAUAUUGGACAAUGGGCGAAAGCCUGAUCCAGCAAUGCAGCGUGUGUGAAGAAGGCCUGAGGGUUGUAAAGCACUUUCAGUAGGGAAGAUAAUGACGGUACCUACAGAAGAAGCACCGGCUAACUCCG
This 432-nucleotide ribosomal RNA is filed under the name uncultured Pseudomonadota bacterium. RNAcentral describes it as "bacterial SSU rRNA". It matches the Rfam family "Bacterial small subunit ribosomal RNA", at positions 39 to 505 of the family's 1533-position model. The record is from RNAcentral. Lineage: Bacteria; Pseudomonadati; Pseudomonadota.